GAUGAAGAACGUAGCGAAAUGCGAUACGUAAUGUGAAUUGCAGAUUUCAGUGAAUCAUCGAAUCUUUGAACGCACAUUGCGCCCGCUAGUAUUCUGGCGGGCAUGCCUGUUCGAGCGUCAUUUCAACCAUCAAGCCCUAGGCUUGCGUUGGAGCCCUGCGGCUGCCGCAGGCUCCCAAAUCCAGUGGCGGGCUCGUCGUCGUACCGAGUGCAGUGAACAUCCUCGCUCAGGGAACGUGACGGGUUCUUGCCGUGAAACCCCCCACAUAUCAAGGUUGACCUCGGAUCAGGUAGGAAUACCCGCUGAACUUAAGCAUAUCAAUAAGCGGAGGA
Molecule: unclassified non-coding RNA, 332 nt
Filed under: soil metagenome
Description: partial contains 5.8S ribosomal RNA, internal transcribed spacer 2, and large subunit ribosomal RNA
Rfam family: 5.8S ribosomal RNA (bases 1-120)
Source: RNAcentral